GCCGGGCAUGAUGGCUCACGCCUGUAAUCCUUGCACUUUGGGAGGCUGAGGCGGGUGGAUCACCUGAGGUCAGGAGUUCAAGACCAGCCUGGCCAACAUGGUGAAACCCUGUCUCUA
Molecule: unclassified non-coding RNA, 117 nt
Organism: Pongo abelii (Sumatran orangutan)
Lineage: Eukaryota; Metazoa; Chordata; Mammalia; Primates; Hominidae
Rfam family: Metazoan signal recognition particle RNA
About the family: The signal recognition particle (SRP) is a universally conserved ribonucleoprotein. It is involved in the co-translational targeting of proteins to membranes.
Source: Ensembl